CGGCGGACGGGUGAGUAACGCGUGGGUAACCUGCCUCAUACAGGGGGAUAACAGUUAGAAAUGACUGCUAAUACCGCAUAAGCGCACGGGACUGCAUGGUCCGGUGUGAAAAACCGAGGUGGUAUGAGAUGGACCCGCGUCUGAUUAGCUGGUUGGCGGGGUAACGGCCCACCAAGGCGACGAUCAGUAGCCGACCUGAGAGGGUGGCCGGCCACAUUGGGACUGAGACACGGCCCAAACUCCUACGGAAGGCAGCAG
RNAcentral lists this ribosomal RNA (258 nucleotides) under uncultured bacterium. Its description in RNAcentral is "partial 16S ribosomal RNA". It matches the Rfam family "Bacterial small subunit ribosomal RNA", at positions 96 to 354 of the family's 1533-position model. The record is from RNAcentral.